RNAcentral lists this unclassified non-coding RNA (311 nucleotides) under Bombus terrestris (buff-tailed bumblebee). Its description in RNAcentral is "misc RNA ENSBTSG00005029842.1". Lineage: Eukaryota; Metazoa; Arthropoda; Insecta; Hymenoptera; Apidae. The record is from RNAcentral.
CGAACACGCACCACAUGUGUUCCCAAAGCGUGUAAAAGAGGAAACGGGAUCCCAGGAGAUUCCGGUACUGCGAGGCCGACUAGAGACGAAGGCAAGACAGGAGGUUCGCAACGAUGAUCUUCUGGGACGAAUCGACGUCACUGGAUCAAGAAUGAAAGAGAGGAGAAGAAGCGAUAGAGAGUAGGUUGUUCGAGCAGAGAGGGUGAAACACGGGCAAAAGAAGCGAAGAAGUGUGCAGAAAGAACGAAGAAAGAGAGAGAAAGAAUAAGAGGCUAUUCGAAACAACACAACGAAUGCGCACGGUCGCGCAC